This 1492-nucleotide ribosomal RNA is filed under the name uncultured bacterium. RNAcentral describes it as "16S ribosomal RNA". It matches the Rfam family "Bacterial small subunit ribosomal RNA". The record is from RNAcentral.
AGAGUUUGAUCCUGGCUCAGGAUGAACGCUAGCUACAGGCUUAACACAUGCAAGUCGAGGGGCAGCAUGGUCUUAGCUUGCUAAGGCCGAUGGCGACCGGCGCACGGGUGAGUAACGCGUAUCCAACCUGCCUUACACUCUUGGACAGCCUUCUGAAAGGGAGAUUAAUACAAGAUGUUAUCAUGAGUAAGCAUUUUCGCAUGAUUAAAGGUUUACCGGUGUAAGAUGGGGAUGCGUUCCAUUAGAUAGUAGGCGGGGUAACGGCCCACCUAGUCUUCGAUGGAUAGGGGUUCUGAGAGGAAGGUCCCCCACAUUGGAACUGAGACACGGUCCAAACUCCUACGGGAGGCAGCAGUGAGGAAUAUUGGUCAAUGGACGAGAGUCUGAACCAGCCAAGUAGCGUGAAGGAUGAAGGUUCUAUGGAUUGUAAACUUCUUUUAUACGGGAAUAAACGAAUCCACGUGUGGAUUUUUGCAUGUACCGUAUGAAUAAGGAUCGGCUAACUCCGUGCCAGCAGCCGCGGUAAUACGGAGGAUCCGAGCGUUAUCCGGAUUUAUUGGGUUUAAAGGGAGCGUAGAUGGGUUGUUAAGUCAGUUGUGAAAGUUUGCGGCUCAACCGUAAAAUUGCAAUUGAUACUGGCAGUCUUGAGUACAGUUGAGGUAGGCGGAAUUCGUGGUGUAGCGGUGAAAUGCUUAGAUAUCACGAAGAACUCCGAUUGCGAAGGCAGCUUACUAACCUGUAACUGACAUUGAUGCUCGAAAGUGUGGGUAUCAAACAGGAUUAGAUACCCUGGUAGUCCACACGGUAAACGAUGAAUACUCGCUGUAGGCGAUAUACAGUCUGCGGCCAAGCGAAAGCAUUAAGUAUUCCACCUGGGGAGUACGCCGGCAACGGUGAAACUCAAAGGAAUUGACGGGGGCCCGCACAAGCGGAGGAACAUGUGGUUUAAUUCGAUGAUACGCGAGGAACCUUACCCGGGCUUAAAUUGCAACCGAAUAUGGCGGAAACGCUAUAGCUAGCAAUAGCGGUUGUGAAGGUGCUGCAUGGUUGUCGUCAGCUCGUGCCGUGAGGUGUCGGCUUAAGUGCCAUAACGAGCGCAACCCUUGCCGAUAGUUACUAACAGGUUAUGCUGAGGACUCUGUCGGGACUGCCAUCGUAAGAUGUGAGGAAGGUGGGGAUGACGUCAAAUCAGCACGGCCCUUACGUCCGGGGCUACACACGUGUUACAAUGGGGGGUACAGAGGGCUGCUACCACGCAAGUGGAUGCCAAUCCCAAAAACCUCUCUCAGUUCGGAUUGAAGUCUGCAACCCGACUUCAUGAAGCUGGAUUCGCUAGUAAUCGCGCAUCAGCCACGGCGCGGUGAAUACGUUCCCGGGCCUUGUACACCCCGCCCGUCAAGCCAUGGGAGCCGGGGGUACCUGAAGUGCGUAACCGCAAGGAGCGCCCUAGGGUAAAACUGGUGACUGGGGCUAAGUCGUAACAAGGUAGCCG